Molecule: unclassified non-coding RNA, 567 nt
Filed under: Purpureocillium lilacinum
Lineage: Eukaryota; Fungi; Ascomycota; Sordariomycetes; Hypocreales; Ophiocordycipitaceae
Description: sequence contains 18S rRNA gene, ITS1, 5.8S rRNA gene, ITS2, 28S rRNA gene
Rfam family: 5.8S ribosomal RNA (bases 198-351)
Source: RNAcentral
GAUCAUUACCGAGUUAUACAACUCCCAAACCCACUGUGAACCUUACCUCAGUUGCCUCGGCGGGAACGCCCCGGCCGCCUGCCCCCGCGCCGGCGCCGGACCCAGGCGCCCGCCGCAGGGACCCCAAACUCUCUUGCAUUACGCCCAGCGGGCGGAAUUUCUUCUCUGAGUUGCACAAGCAAAAACAAAUGAAUCAAAACUUUCAACAACGGAUCUCUUGGUUCUGGCAUCGAUGAAGAACGCAGCGAAAUGCGAUAAGUAAUGUGAAUUGCAGAAUUCAGUGAAUCAUCGAAUCUUUGAACGCACAUUGCGCCCGCCAGCAUUCUGGCGGGCAUGCCUGUUCGAGCGUCAUUUCAACCCUCGAGCCCCCCCCGGGGGCCUCGGUGUUGGGGGACGGCACACCAGCCGCCCCCGAAAUGCAGUGGCGACCCCGCCGCAGCCUCCCCUGCGUAGUAGCACACACCUCGCACCGGAGCGCGGAGGCGGUCACGCCGUAAAACGCCCAACUUUCUUAGAGUUGACCUCGGAUCAGGUAGGAAUACCCGCUGAACUUAAGCAUAUCAAUAA